GGGCAGAUGGCGAAAUUGGUAGACGCGCCAGGUUUAGGACCUGGUAUCGAAAGAUUUGAGGGUUCGAGUCCCUCUCUGCCCA
RNAcentral lists this transfer RNA (82 nucleotides) under Candidatus Kaiserbacteria bacterium RIFCSPHIGHO2_01_FULL_56_24. Its description in RNAcentral is "tRNA-Leu". It matches the Rfam family "tRNA". From Rfam's summary of the family: Transfer RNA (tRNA) molecules are approximately 80 nucleotides in length. Lineage: Bacteria; Candidatus Kaiseribacteriota. The record is from RNAcentral.